GAUGAACGCUGGCGGCGUGCCUAAUACAUGCAAGUCGAGCGAACAGACGAGGAGCUUGCUCCUCUGACGUUAGCGGCAGACGGGUGAGUAACACGUGGAUAACCUACCUAUAAGACUGGGAUAACUUCGGGAAACCGGAGCUAAUACCGGAUAAUAUAUUGAACCGCAUGGUUCAAUAGUGAAGGACGGUUUUGCUGUCACUUAUAGAUUGAUCCGCGCCGCAUUAGCUAGUUGGUAAGGUAACGGCUUACCAAGGCAACGAUGCGUAGCCGACCUGAGAGGGUGAUCGGCCACACUGGAACUGAGACACGGUCCAGACUCCUACGGGAGGCAGCAGUAGGGAAUCUUCCGCAAUGGGCGAAAGCCUGACGGAGCAACGCCGCGUGAGUGAUGAAGGUCUUCGGAUCGUAAAACUCUGUUAUUAGGGAAGAACAAAUGUGUAAGUAACUAUGCACGUCUUGACGGUACCUAAUCAGAAAGCCACGGCUAACUACGUG
This 497-nucleotide ribosomal RNA is filed under the name uncultured bacterium. RNAcentral describes it as "partial 16S ribosomal RNA". It matches the Rfam family "Bacterial small subunit ribosomal RNA", at positions 28 to 507 of the family's 1533-position model. The record is from RNAcentral.